ACCAAGAAGUACUAUAAUAUUAACUUGAGAUAUGAAUGAAUGAAAGAAUUGAACCAUGAUAAAACGCGACAUGCACUACAAAUUGAAGGUAUGAAAUUAAGUUAAAUGAAAGCUCGUUUAUUCACCAUAUGAUGCUCGUUAUGAGGUAAUCAUAUAGGCUAGAUACCGUGAGUUAACGAGGUCGUUUACAUGCACGUGAGUCCACGGAUAUCGGUUAAUUAUUCAAAUUACUGAAAAACACGGAGAAAACCGCAACCGCAUCGUCAUGUGUUUUUUUUAAGAUGUAUGCAAACGGGAAAUAUCGCCAAACCAACAAUUCAUUUUACCUCAGAAUAUAUCAUCAUUUGUAUAUGCACAGAUUGGAUGCAUUGUGUGUUGUAAGCUUUUCGUGGCUCUAGAUGUCAGACAGAUGCAAAUAGCAAAUACAUACGAAAGUGUAAAACGUGUAUGGCGAACAUUUGUUUUUCUAUCAUUAUAGAUGCUAGUUUGGUGAAAGUACACACUGAGUGCUUCAAAUCAUUCAGAAGAUAUUAGGGUUAGGGCAGUUUUUAGGGCAGUUUAUUAAAGAAGACCUGACAUGGAUGACUUCCAAUGAGAAACGACUGCUACUUAUAUAAAUUCAUUACAGAAGGACCCUACCAGACUAUAUUUGAAUACGGCAUACCCAUGAAUUCUGGAACUGUUAUUUCUUAACCCAGUUUGGAGGAUAAGAGCUUACCAACUAGUUAUAAAUAUGCUGAGGUGAUGUAUUGCAAAAUAGCCCACAUACAACAAUUAAAGGAUAAUUGCAGACUAUAUCCUGAUGAAGAUAUGGAUGACCCUCUGUCUGGUCAACAGGAGUUUAAAUAUGGAUGGGACAGUGAUGUGGCAGCUCUUCCCUGACUCAUUCACCUCUUGCCUUCAUUUGUGAAGGGACGAAAGACUGGAGAGGGUCAAUGUGCAUCUGAAGCUACUGAUUGUGCUGUGUGAUGAGCAUCAAUCCAUGCUUUGAGGGGGAUGAAUCAGCACAGCCCUGCCUGCUCUGCGUUGGGAACAAAAGUUGCAUCCAGAAUUUUUGCAUCAUUCUGGACCAAAAAGCCAUUCCCUCCAUGAUGAAGACCACUGAUGCAGCCUUCCACUACAUCAUGAGUAAAACAACUACAGAACUUAAUACCAGGUUGGAACGUGUUUAAGAAAAAUGAAACGUCUUUUGAAUUGAAAUGUCUGUUUUGUUAUGGAAAAAUCGUUAGUUUUGUGAAGGAUAAGCAUUUCUGCUUGCCGAUAAGGUAAUUGCAUGUAUUUUAAUGUUCAAGUUUUGAGUAGGGUGGCAAUUUUUUUUUAACUCUCAUUUGAUUUAUUAAAGACUUUAUAAUAAGUGGUUUUCAUGUCACUGAGCUGUGCUAUAAGAUAACUUUCAUUAUUCCAUACUGUAUUCUGUUUCUAAUUGUAGCUGAGGUAUUUAAAUAAGCAGUGUUAAAUGCUAAGUGUUGUGUGUAUCAAUGUAAAUAUUAAAUGUGAUGUACAUUAAUAAAAAGAGGUUUUGCAAUA
This is a non-coding RNA of Misgurnus anguillicaudatus (oriental weatherfish), 1527 nucleotides long. NCBI's taxonomy places the organism in Eukaryota, Metazoa, Chordata, Actinopteri, Cypriniformes, Cobitidae. The record is from RefSeq and is a predicted model, not a curated record.